CUUCAACAAAUACCAUUUAGCUGUGAUUCGUUUGAUGCUGCUAUUGCUGCUCAUAUAUCAAGACAUGAAAAUAAGAUGAUAUUUCCUUCCACUGUGGCAUCCCUCAGUUCUUCAAUCUGGGAUGCUGAAGAAACAUGUGAUGCUUUCUCAUUUCAAAAGAAUCAUGCCCUGUACCAGGAAGUUCCUACUUCAAUUGAUGUUGUCUCUCCUGGCACUGACAAACGGACAAACUCAAUGUUUUAUGGUGCCUUUCUUGAGGGGUUGGCUAAUGGUGAGGGGCAUGUGGAUUAUCCUACUGAAACUGACCCUAUGGAUGAAUGUUCACCUGAUCCACAUGUUGUGGACAACUCGGUUAAAGAUUUCACUGGGCUAACAGAUAUCUANNNNNNNNNCUGGCCUGAAUCUUUAGGACCAUUGGAUCUGGAUAUACCCUCAUCUAAAUACCAUAGCGAAGAGUUUAUUUUAGGUGACAGCCUAAGCGGUUUGAACCGGCUGAUAGCCAGCAGCUUGGA
RNAcentral lists this unclassified non-coding RNA (512 nucleotides) under Hevea brasiliensis (rubber tree). Lineage: Eukaryota; Viridiplantae; Streptophyta; Magnoliopsida; Malpighiales; Euphorbiaceae. The record is from RNAcentral.